ACGAAGAGUAAUCUUAAAGUUCACUUAUUGACUAGGAAACAUGAAUAUUGACCCUCUCGCCUCAUUUUUGAGUGUUUUGUAAAUUGAUGUUGUAACAACGGUGGACUAUUCCUUUGAGAGGAUGAACCCAAAUGAUGACUCAUACCCAUCCUUGAAGAAAUGAAGCUCUUUCUGGAUUUCAGUGAUGGCAUCAAAUUCUUUGAUUUCACAGGCAUCCUGGGAAGGGUCUACUACAUGUGUUGUGGUGGAAACAAAUGCAGUUGUCUCACUUGGGAUACUGAAUGCCCUUGAUGUCAUCACUAUGCAGAGAGAAAUCCUCUACAUAUUUGUACAUGGGAUACAUCAGAGCAUCUUUGAUGUUGGAGUGGUCCAGACCAAGUACAUGUCCGAACUCAUGGGCAGCUACCAGAAACAGACUGUAUCCUAUGAGGAGAAAGCAGUGUCAUUCAGAUUAGGAAUGUUUGCUAGUGUCUCACUUUCACAUUUAUUGCUGUAUUACAAUAUUGUUAUUUUAUAUUGUGUCUAUCAAUACACUCACCCCUAUCAGGGCAAAAUCCCCA
Molecule: long non-coding RNA, 560 nt
Organism: Myxocyprinus asiaticus (Chinese sucker)
Lineage: Eukaryota; Metazoa; Chordata; Actinopteri; Cypriniformes; Catostomidae
Exons: 3
Source: RefSeq, a predicted model, not a curated record